RNAcentral lists this ribosomal RNA (484 nucleotides) under uncultured bacterium. Its description in RNAcentral is "partial 16S ribosomal RNA". It matches the Rfam family "Bacterial small subunit ribosomal RNA", at positions 30 to 507 of the family's 1533-position model. The record is from RNAcentral.
AUUGAACGCUGGCGGCAGGCCUAACACAUGCAAGUCGAGCGGAUGAAGGGAGCUUGCUCCUGGAUUCAGCGGCGGACGGGUGAGUAAUGCCUAGGAAUCUGCCUGGUAGUGGGGGAUAACGUCCGGAAACGGGCGCUAAUACCGCAUACGUCCUGAGGGAGAAAGUGGGGGAUCUUCGGACCUCACGCUAUCAGAUGAGCCUAGGUCGGAUUAGCUAGUUGGUGGGGUAAAGGCCUACCAAGGCGACGAUCCGUAACUGGUCUGAGAGGAUGAUCAGUCACACGGGAAGGGGGACACGGACCAGACUCCUACGGGAGGCAGCAGUGGGGAAUAUUGGACAAUGGGCGAAAGCAUGAUCCAGCCAUGCCGCGUGUGUGAAGAAGGUCUUCGGAGUGUAAAGCACUUUAAGUUGGGAGGAAGGGCAGUAAGUUAAUACCUUGCUGUUUUGACGUUACCAACAGAAUAAGCACCGGCUAACUUCGUG